This 255-nucleotide ribosomal RNA is filed under the name uncultured bacterium. Its description in RNAcentral is "partial 16S ribosomal RNA". It matches the Rfam family "Bacterial small subunit ribosomal RNA", at positions 524 to 776 of the family's 1533-position model. The record is from RNAcentral.
UACAGAGGUCUCAAGCGUUGUUCGGAUUCAUUGGGCGUAAAGGGUGCGUAGGCGGCGCGGUAAGUCGGGUGUGAAAUUUCGAGGCUUAACUUCGAAACUGCAUUCGAUACUGCCGUGUCUAGAGGACUGGAGAGGAGACUGGAAUUUACGGUGUAGCGGUGAAAUGCGUAGAUAUCGUAAGGAAGACCAGUGGCGAAGGCGGGUCUCGUGGACAGUUCCUGACGCUGAGGCACGAAGGCCAGGGGAGCAAACGGG